This is a long non-coding RNA of Scatophagus argus, 321 nucleotides long. RefSeq lists it as uncharacterized. The transcript is spliced from 3 exons. The record is from RefSeq and is a predicted model, not a curated record. Lineage: Eukaryota; Metazoa; Chordata; Actinopteri; Scatophagidae.
ACUGUGCACCUGGGUUGUUUGCGCCUCCGACGUCAUCACGUGGACAAACGCGCUCCACCACGAAUCGGAAUCCACACAUCGCGCCGGGCUACAUCACCGAGCGGUCACGGCCACGCAUAUUAGCACCAGAGAACCUGACUGAUCAUCCUACUGGCGAGGCAAAUCCAUAAUAAAAGACUAAUGGACAGCUUUGUCAUUGACACUUUGACAGAGUGGCAGCUGACAGACUUUAUAGAAAGAUUUAAAGAGGAGGAGAUUGAUGAGGAGAGUUUUCGUCUUUUAGAUGAGGCUACCAUCAACCAGUUGAUCCCAAGAGCUGGC